CGCCUAACACAUGCAAGUCGAGUGGGUUUAGACCCACGGCAGACGGCUGCGUAACACGUUGGAACCUUCCCCGAACUCAGGGAUAACCCGCCGAAAGGCGGGCUAAUACCGGAUAGUCCCGAAAGGGUAAAGAUUUUUCGGUUCGGGAGGGGCCUGCGGCCUAUCAGCUAGUUGGUAAGGUAACGGCUUACCAAGGCAAUGACGGGUAGCUGGUUUGAGAGAACGACCAGCCAGAAUGGAACUGAGACACGGCCCAG
This 257-nucleotide ribosomal RNA is filed under the name uncultured bacterium. Its description in RNAcentral is "partial 16S ribosomal RNA". It matches the Rfam family "Bacterial small subunit ribosomal RNA", at positions 45 to 334 of the family's 1533-position model. The record is from RNAcentral.